CUCCUUUUGGUCCAUUUCCAGUCUAGUCCAUCCAUCCAUCCCUCCCUCUGGCCCGCAGCCCACCCUCCCAGCCUGAUCCUUGCUGCUACAGCCGCGCGCGUGCACACACACACACACACACGCACACGCGCGCACACACACACACACACACACACACACAUACACACACGCACCCCUACCUCUCUGUGAAAUCCACCCACCCUGGGAAGGAUGAGCAAUGCGUUCCGGGCCUGGAGCCUUUGAGGAUGGGCUGUCAGGAAGGCAUCAAGAUCCACUGUCAACAUUGCAAGGCUUGGAGCAGAUGGAGGGUCAUAUAUCACAGGCCAAACUAUUUACAAGAGUUAAACUAAAAACUGGUAAGUAACAGAAGUUCUCUCCUUCUAUUUUUACCAUUAUUUUUUCAAAAUUGCUUGGAGUUAGGUUAUAAGAAAACAUGGAUAUGACCUUA
This 448-nucleotide long non-coding RNA is filed under the name Sus scrofa (pig). RNAcentral describes it as "lncRNA (ENSSSCG00065072217.1)". The record is from RNAcentral. Lineage: Eukaryota; Metazoa; Chordata; Mammalia; Artiodactyla; Suidae.